Molecule: ribosomal RNA, 1167 nt
Filed under: Salmonella enterica
Lineage: Bacteria; Pseudomonadati; Pseudomonadota; Gammaproteobacteria; Enterobacterales; Enterobacteriaceae
Description: partial 23S ribosomal RNA
Rfam family: Bacterial large subunit ribosomal RNA
Source: RNAcentral
GGUUAAGCGACUAAGCGUACACGGUGGAUGCCCUGGCAGUCAGAGGCGAUGAAGGGCGUGCUAAUCUGCGAUAAGCGCCGGUAAGGUGAUAUGAACCGUUAUAACCGGCGAUACCCGAAUGGGGAAACCCAGUGUGAUUCGUCACACUAUCAUUAACUGAAUCCAUAGGUUAAUGAGGCGAACCGGGGGAACUGAAACAUCUAAGUACCCCGAGGAAAAGAAAUCAACCGAGAUUCCCCCAGUAGCGGCGAGCGAACGGGGAGGAGCCCAGAGCCUGAAUCAGCAUGUGUGUUAGUGGAAGCGUCUGGAAAGGCGCGCGAUACAGGGUGACAGCCCCGUACACAAAAGCGUAUGUGCUGUGAGCUCGAUGAGUAGGGCGGGACACGUGGUAUCCUGUCUGAAUAUGGGGGGACCAUCCUCCAAGGCUAAAUACUCCUGACUGACCGAUAGUGAACCAGUACCGUGAGGGAAAGGCGAAAAGAACCCCGGCGAGGGGAGUGAAAAAGAACCUGAAACCGUGUACGUACAAGCAGUGGGAGCACCCUUUGGGGUGUGACUGCGUACCUUUUGUAUAAUGGGUCAGCGACUUAUAUUCUGUAGCAAGGUUAACCGAAUAGGGGAGCCGGAGGGAAACCGAGUCUUAAUUGGGCGUUAAGUUGCAGGGUAUAGACCCGAAACCCGGUGAUCUAGCCAUGGGCAGGUUGAAGGUUGGGUAACACUAACUGGAGGACCGAACCGACUAAUGUUGAAAAAUUAGCGGAUGACCUGUGGCUGGGGGUGAAAGGCCAAUCAAACCGGGAGAUAGCUGGUUCUCCCCGAAAGCUAUUUAGGUAGCGCCUCGUGAAUUCAUCUCCGGGGGUAGAGCACUGUUUCGGCUAGGGGGUCAUCCCGACUUACCAACCCGAUGCAAACUGCGAAUACCGGAGAAUGUUAUCACGGGAGACACACGGCGGGUGCUAACGUCCGUCGUGAAGAGGGAAACAACCCAGACCGCCAGCUAAGGUCCCAAAGUCAUGGUUAAGUGGGAAACGAUGUGGGAAGGCACAGACAGCCAGGAUGUUGGCUUAGAAGCAGCCAUCAUUUAAAGAAAGCGUAAUAGCUCACUGGUCGAGUCGGCCUGCGCGGAAGAUGUAACGGGGCUAAACCAUGCACCGAAGCUGCGGCAGC